This 1547-nucleotide long non-coding RNA is filed under the name Homo sapiens (human). RNAcentral describes it as "HSALNT0018722". Lineage: Eukaryota; Metazoa; Chordata; Mammalia; Primates; Hominidae. The record is from RNAcentral.
CUGGGUGAUCCCUGCCUGCCGCACUCACAGUCUGCUGUUUACAGUCCCGAAUGCAUCCAGUGGAAUGGUCCUCCCCAUCUGCAGCAUCUGGUGCAAUGUAGGAGACCCUUCAGCUUCCUCUGGACUGUUUUUCUUUUCUGUUUGUGUCCAUCUUCCUUGAUCAAACUCCAGAAGGCAUAUCCCCAAUAGUUUUCUCCAUUGUGGAGGACCUCUUCCAUAUUUUAUGUGCUAGGAUUGUGAUAUUCUGUUAUGGCAGCCCUAGCAGAUGAAUAAUACAGGUAGAAUGGUCCUCAGGUGGUCUGAAGCAGGAGAUACGGCACUUAUGGUGCUCUCUGAUGAAGCCUGAGUCAAUGGAGGAGCCCGCAGCUGCCGGGUCACUUGGUUUCAGGUUUGUGAGAGUCAGCUGAGGGACAAGAGCUCCGGGAACUUUGAAGGCACCCUCUCGAGAAAGCGUUUUCUGUCUUAAAUAUUUUCCUGCACAGGUCUGAAAUUGUAUCAGUAGAAAUUCAUGUGGGGGUCUUGAUGCCUUCUUUAGUUUUCAGCAAUCUCAUGAUAGAAUGAGAAUGUACCUGGUCACCAGGACGCUGUUGAUAGGCUGAGAAUGUGGGGUGUGGUUUCUGGAAAAGGACUGCAGGGAAGCCGGCAGUGAAGGACAGAUGGGCCAGAUCUUUAGGUUCUCUCCCUUCCAGCUUUGCCCAGGACCAGCCUGGAUGAGCUUCUCAUGGGGCUUACAGAAAGAAGGGUGUUUUGGUUCUUCCUUGAAGGUGGUGAAUUCCUGAAACCUGAUGGUGGUUUAGAUUCUGGGUUACUGAGAAUAACUGUCUACCACAACGCUUACAGUCCCAGAAGAGGAGAGAUUCUUUCUUUCUCCCAGGAUUGGUCUGUUUCAAUCUCUGAAAAGGACUCUGACUGGUCUUGCUUGGAUCCUUUGCUGGCCCUGUAACCAAUUAAUGCUUAAGGUUCUGAGAUGGCAACUGCUGGUUUCAUUUGUCUGGAGAUUUCAUCUUUCAGAGCUGUCAAGGAUUUUAGUGGCUAUAAGGAGAGAACUCUGAUGAUAAAGUUUAUUGAUUCAUGACUGCAUUCAUAUAAAACACUAAAUGGAAUUUUGAAUGGCAAGAAACAUGUUUUGUACAUUCAAUAAAUGAGAAUCUGUGUAUCAUGAAAAUGGUAACACUUAGUAUGAUAAUUUUCAGUUUAUAAAGUGUUUUAUUUAAUUCUGACAAUAAUCCUGUAAGGUAGCUGAGUUGUUGAGUUAUAGUAGCACUCAAUGUAUACCCUUCAACCCCUGCCACAAACACACAAAUGCAUGUUCAGUUUUCUUUCAUAUACAAAAUAUCCCAUCUCCCCAAACCGUUACCCCAUCUCAUACUUUGUUCACUUCUAAAAUUCCUGGAAAGGUGAAAUGUUCCCAUAACUGUCUUCAACUCAUCACUACCACUCCAUGAGAUCUGGUCUAAUCUUUGCCAUUAUAGAAAAUCUCACUUAGUUACUAAUAACUUCCUUGUUGCUAAAUGUAGUGAAGUUUCCUCUAUAUGUAUCAUUCGAAG